CACUUGGAGAAAGAAGAAAACAAGACACACAGAUGCGAAAAGAACCAGUCAGAUGCAAAGGAGCUGGUUAAAUGAUAACACUGACAACAGCAAGUGCUCCUCAAAGUUCCACGUCAUCAAAAGAAGUGGGAAGAUGGUGCAAAGGAAGAACUCUGGUCUGAACCCUCAUGUAUCCUCCUUCAUUAAAGGGAUAGUUCACCCAAAAAAUUAAUUCACCCAUUAAUAACUCACCCUCAUGUCGUUCCAAACCCGUGAGACCUCCAUUUAUCUCCUCUGUCCCUCCAUUGAAGCUGUGUGUUCGGUCUGCUGUCCAU
Molecule: long non-coding RNA, 314 nt
Organism: Carassius auratus (goldfish)
Lineage: Eukaryota; Metazoa; Chordata; Actinopteri; Cypriniformes; Cyprinidae
Exons: 3
Source: RefSeq, a predicted model, not a curated record